AGAGGGAUAUCUGGGUCAAAUUGGUGGUUCCAUUCCCAGUUUUACAAGGAAUUUCCAUACUGCUUUCCAUAUUGGCUGCACCAAUUUGCAGUCCCACCAGCAAU
RNAcentral lists this microRNA precursor (104 nucleotides) under Marmota monax (woodchuck). The record is from RNAcentral. Lineage: Eukaryota; Metazoa; Chordata; Mammalia; Rodentia; Sciuridae.